GCACCUGCCGUUUGGUGGUGGGGGGAGUAGCCGGGCUACGCCCGGGUAAUACCGCAUACGGUUGCCGAGGGGAGUCCCUUGGCAAAGAAACCUCCGGGGCACAGAGAGGGGCUCGCGGCCUAUCAGCUAGUUGGUGAGGUAAUGGCUCACCAAGGCGACGACGGGUAGCUGGUCUGAGAGGAUGGCCAGCCACAUUGGGACUGAGAUACGGCCCAG
This 216-nucleotide ribosomal RNA is filed under the name uncultured bacterium. RNAcentral's name for it is "partial 16S ribosomal RNA". It matches the Rfam family "Bacterial small subunit ribosomal RNA", at positions 121 to 334 of the family's 1533-position model. The record is from RNAcentral.